AUUGAACGCUGGCGGCAUGCUUUACACAUGCAAGUCGAACGGUAACAGGCCUUCGGGUGCUGACGAGUGGCGAACGGGUGAGUAAUGCAUCGGAACGUACCCAGAGGUGGGGGAUAACGCAGCGAAAGCUGUGCUAAUACUGCAUGUGAUCUGAGGAUGAAAGCGGGGGACCGAGCAGCAAUGUUUGGCCUCGCGCCUUUGGAGCGGCCGAUGUCGGAUUAGCUAGUUGGUGGGGUAAAGGCCUACCAAGGCGACGAUCCGUAGCUGGUCUGAGAGGACGAACAGCCACACUGGGACUGAGACACGGCCCAGACUCCUACGGGAGGCAGCAGUGGGGAAUUUUGGACAAUGGGCGCAAGCCUGAUCCAGCAAUGCCGCGUGCGGGAAGAAGGCCUUCGGGUUGGAAACCGCUUUUGGCAGGAACGAAACGGUGUCCGCUAAUACCGGGCGCUAAUGACGGUACCUGCAGAAUAAGCACCGGCUAACUACGUG
RNAcentral lists this ribosomal RNA (492 nucleotides) under uncultured bacterium. Its description in RNAcentral is "partial 16S ribosomal RNA". It matches the Rfam family "Bacterial small subunit ribosomal RNA", at positions 29 to 507 of the family's 1533-position model. The record is from RNAcentral.